This 229-nucleotide long non-coding RNA is filed under the name Panax ginseng (ginseng). RNAcentral's name for it is "long non-coding RNA (PGIN_LNC006903)". The record is from RNAcentral. Lineage: Eukaryota; Viridiplantae; Streptophyta; Magnoliopsida; Apiales; Araliaceae.
AUAGCUUGAAAAAUAAAAAGUUGUGCAAAUUAAAGAAAAAAAGAGAGAAAUUAGAAAUUUAAAAAGUUGAAGAAGCAUACCAUGGCAUUAAAGAGAGAGUGGACGGGGAAUGUAGAGGUGUUCUGAUCCGACCACAUAUUUAUUAUCUUUUUGCAAUAGAAGAAGCAUCUGAGCCUCGGCAGAUCUACAAGAUACAUAUCUUUUAAGUUGGGAAAUUGUAUGAUUUCCU